UGAAACCAAAACUGCAGCCCGCCU
This 24-nucleotide non-coding RNA is filed under the name Arabidopsis thaliana (thale cress). Lineage: Eukaryota; Viridiplantae; Streptophyta; Magnoliopsida; Brassicales; Brassicaceae. The record is from RNAcentral.